Long non-coding RNA from Leopardus geoffroyi (Geoffroy's cat), 1805 nucleotides. RefSeq lists it as uncharacterized. The record is from RefSeq and is a predicted model, not a curated record. The transcript is spliced from 2 exons. Lineage: Eukaryota; Metazoa; Chordata; Mammalia; Carnivora; Felidae.
UAUAUAUACAUAUGUAUACAUGUACAUACAUACAUAUGCAUGUGUAUACACACAUACACAUACACACAUUUUUUUGGGGGGGGACCUUCACGGUGAGUAAAUGUGUCAAAAGGGGGAAGACCAUGGCCAUGCACGCUGAGAAAUCAACUUUCUCAGUUCCUGAUCUCUCCUGGCUACCUAUAACAAUGUUUGCUUUUUUGUUCUUAGCCCACAUCCCUUUGGCUCCUGGGAGCCCUGACAUACAUAGAGCCCUGGUGGUGACAAGCCAACCUCUAGCUCGGGCAGUAGGGAAGGCAGCAGUGGGGAUUCCCCGACCAGCCCUCUAGAGACCGGGGAACUGGGGCGGGGCAGGGACAUGGGGGGAGCUCCUGCCAGGAGCAGCGGGAGUAUUUUAAAAGUUUGCACUUUUCAGAGGACAGGAAUACACAAUUUCAACCAUGCUAUCAAACGGUUUCUCUUAUAAAGGAUAUAUAUAUAUACAGACAUACACACAUAUACAUAUACAUAUAUAUGUAUAUAUAUAUAUAUAAAGGAGGGGGCCUGCUGAGAGGGGACGUCAUACGUUGCCAUGGGAACAAUGAUCAGGAAAGGUCUCAAGGUUGCUGUGACCUUCCCCUAGCCUUACACUUGAGAUUUGUACCAGAAGUGGGUGGCCCCGAAGCAAGGAUUACAAACUGACCAGGCCCUGGAGAAGACUAGCUAUCUUCACGCAGGCUUAUUGGAAGCGCACAGAGAGCUGAGUUAAUUAUUUACCGUAGAGAUUUUUUUUUUCUAAGAGCAAAGCCUCCUUGGGAAACCAAACUUAGAUCUAGAGAAGGCUUGGCAAAGAUUCAGAAGUGAGGGGGCAGUAUCAGUCUCUUCCAUGAGAACAGAGACCUUUCCAGUCCUGUUCACUGCCUGAUUUCCAACUCCUGGAAUUGAGCCUGGUUCUCUGCAGGUCCUGGGUAACUAUUUGAAAAACUGAAGGAAGGUGGGUGUGGCCUUGAGCCAGCCAGCGUUCUCGUAGUCACGAAUACUUACCUGCGGUGUAAUUUUCCCACUUCUUCCAUUUACCCCUUUCGCAUUAUCUCCCUGCCCCCAAUUCUCCAGUGGCUCCCCAUCUCUGGCAAGAUAAAAUCAAUCAGAAACCCACUGCUGUCAAUCACCUGUCCCUUCUCUUUUGCUAAAGCUUUUUAUUUAUUUAUUUUACUGUUCCAGCAGUACUGAAAUAGCUCCCUCAUUUUAGAAAAUGUGCUUCCUUACACGUCUGUGUCCUCCCCUACCUGUUUCCCUUCUAUCUGACAGCUCCUACUCCUUCCCCAUGAAGCAUAUAACCUCCUCAAGAAAGCCCUCCAUCACUCAGGUAAGCAGACUUCCUAGCCCCCCCCCCCCCCCCCCCCCCCCACCCACCCAUUCUGUCCCCUAAGCUUGUCAUAUAGUGCUGUUACUUUCUGUUUAGGGUUCAGUCUCCCUUGGGUAGAGUUGCUUAUCUUUUUCUCAAUGGAUAUUAGGUACCUAGUUCAGCGAUUGCAGAUAUUAAGAAAACAUCCUAUUAGUUGAUUAAAUGUUGAAAGUGCCCCUUUCGAGAGUGAUUAUAUCAAUCAUUAUGUAAUGGUCCCAUAGGUAUUCACAGAAAGAAUUGCAGUUAUAUAACAACAGAAACUUAACGUUUAUUGGGUCCCAACUAGGUGCCAAAUAUUACAUCAAGUGGUUUUCAUUUCUUGUUUAAUCCCCACAACAAACCUGAGAGGUAGAUAUUAUCAUUUCCAUUUUAUUGGUGAAAGAACUAAAGCUCAAAGGUGAAAUAAUUGCACAAAUUUACACAA